GCGCCCGUAGCUCAGUGGAUAGAGCGCCGGACUUCGAAUCCGUAGGCCGCAGGUUCAAGUCCUGCCGGGCGUGCCA
This 76-nucleotide transfer RNA is filed under the name Syntrophobacter sp. DG_60. Its description in RNAcentral is "tRNA-Arg". It matches the Rfam family "tRNA". From Rfam's summary of the family: Transfer RNA (tRNA) molecules are approximately 80 nucleotides in length. Their secondary structure includes four short double-helical elements and three loops (D, anti-codon, and T loops). Further hydrogen bonds mediate the characteristic L-shaped molecular structure. tRNAs have two regions of fundamental functional importance: the anti-codon, which is responsible for specific mRNA codon recognition, and the 3' end, to which the tRNAs corresponding amino acid is attached (by aminoacyl-tRNA synthetases). tRNAs cope with the degeneracy of the genetic code in two manners: having more than one tRNA (with a specific anti-codon) for a particular amino acid; and 'wobble' base-pairing, i.e. permitting non-standard base-pairing at the 3rd anti-codon position. The record is from RNAcentral. Lineage: Bacteria; Pseudomonadati; Thermodesulfobacteriota; Syntrophobacteria; Syntrophobacterales; Syntrophobacteraceae.